This 501-nucleotide ribosomal RNA is filed under the name uncultured bacterium. RNAcentral's name for it is "partial 16S ribosomal RNA". It matches the Rfam family "Bacterial small subunit ribosomal RNA", at positions 899 to 1397 of the family's 1533-position model. The record is from RNAcentral.
ACUCAAAUGAAUUGACGGGGGCCCGCACAAGCAGUGGAGCAUGUGGUUCAAUUCGAUGCAACGCGAAGAACCUUACCUGGGUUUGAAAGGCUCUGUAAACCGGUGAAAGCCGGCUAGCGUAGCAAUACGCGCGGAGUACAGGUGCUGCAUGGCUGUCGUCAGCUCGUGCCGUGAGGUGUUAGGUUAAGUCCUGCAACGAGCGCAACCCUUACACUUAGUUGCCAUCAGGUAAUGCUGGGCACUCUAAGUGGACUGCCUACGCAAGUAGUGAGGAAGGUGGGGAUGACGUCAAGUCCUCAUGGCCCUUACACCCAGGGCCACACACGUGCUACAAUGGUCGGUACAAAGGGCUGCGAAGCCGCAAGGUGGAGCCAAUCCCAAAAAACCGAUCUCAGUUCGGAUUGGGGUCUGCAACUCGACCCCAUGAAGCUGGAAUUGCUAGUAAUCGCGUAUCAGCACGACGCGGUGAAUACGUUCCCGGGCCUUGUACACACCGCCCGU